RNAcentral lists this ribosomal RNA (421 nucleotides) under uncultured Cytophagaceae bacterium. Its description in RNAcentral is "bacterial SSU rRNA". It matches the Rfam family "Bacterial small subunit ribosomal RNA", at positions 353 to 772 of the family's 1533-position model. Lineage: Bacteria; Pseudomonadati; Bacteroidota; Cytophagia; Cytophagales; Cytophagaceae. The record is from RNAcentral.
AGUAGGGAAUAUUGGACAAUGGGUGCAAGCCUGAUCCAGCCAUGCCGCGUGCAGGAAGAAGGCUUUCUGAGUUGUAAACUGCUUUUGCCAGGGGAUAAAAUGGGCAUGCGUGCCAAAUUGAAGGUACCUGGUGAAUAAGCCACGGCUAACUACGUGCCAGCAGCCGCGGUAAUACGUAGGUGGCAAGCGUUGUCCGGAUUUAUUGGGUUUAAAGGGUGCGUAGGCGGCAUUUUAAGUCAGUGGUGAAAUACUUCAGCUCAACUGGAGAGGUGCCAUUGAUACUGGGAUGCUUGAGUACUGAUGAGGUAGGCGGAAUGGACGGUGUAGCGGUGAAAUGCUUAGAUAUCGUCCAGAACACCGAUAGCGAAGGCAGCUUACUAAGGAGUAACUGACGCUGAUGCACGAAAGUGUGGGGAUCAAA